This 154-nucleotide ribosomal RNA is filed under the name Craniolaria integrifolia. RNAcentral describes it as "5.8S ribosomal RNA". It matches the Rfam family "5.8S ribosomal RNA". Rfam says of the family: 5.8S ribosomal RNA (5.8S rRNA) is a component of the large subunit of the eukaryotic ribosome. It is transcribed by RNA polymerase I as part of the 45S precursor that also contains 18S and 28S rRNA. Lineage: Eukaryota; Viridiplantae; Streptophyta; Magnoliopsida; Lamiales; Martyniaceae. The record is from RNAcentral.
UUGGCAACGGAUAUCUUGGRUCUCGCAUCGAUGAAGAACGUAGCGAAAUGCGAUACUUGGUGUGAAUUGCAGAAUYCCGUGAACCAUCGAGUCUUUGAACGCAAGUUGCGCCYGAAGCCCCCCGGRUGAGGGCAMGUUUGCCUGGGCGUCMMGC